RNAcentral lists this ribosomal RNA (1608 nucleotides) under Triticum aestivum (bread wheat). Its description in RNAcentral is "partial small subunit ribosomal RNA". Lineage: Eukaryota; Viridiplantae; Streptophyta; Magnoliopsida; Poales; Poaceae. The record is from RNAcentral.
AUGGCGGGGUCGGAGGAGCAGCAGCAGAGGGAGCUGAUGCUGUUCGACACGAGGACAAAGAAGGCGGAGAUGUUCCGGCCGCUGGUGGAGGGCAAGGUGAGCAUGUACGUCUGCGGUGUGACGCCCUACGACUUCAGCCACGUCGGCCACGCCCGUGCUUACGUCGCCUUUGACGUCCUCUACAGGUACCUAAAGUACUUGGGGUACGAGGUUGAGUAUGUGCGCAACUUCACUGAUAUCGAUGACAAGAUUAUUAGACGAGCAAAUGAAGCUGGUGAAACGGCAACUAGUUUGAGUAGUCGGUUCAUCGAUGAGUUCCUGCGUGACAUGGUUGAACUUCAGUGCUUGCCUCCUACUCGCGAGCCACGUGUGACGGAGCACAUUAAGCAGAUAAUAGAUUUGAUAACCAAGCUAGAGGAAAAAGGGAAAGCCUAUACUAUUGAAGGAGACGGCGUAUACUUCUCAGUUGAUAAUUUCCCUGAAUAUCUUAGUCUGUCUGGAAGGAGCUUAGACCAUAAUCUUCCGGGUUCACGAGUCGCUGUCGAUACAAGAAAGCGCACUCCUGCUGACUUUGCAUUAUGGAAGUUUGCGAAGGAGGGUGAGCCAUUCUGGGAAAGCCCUUGGGGCCGUGGAAGACCAGGAUGGCAUAUUGAGUGCAGUGCAAUGAGCGGGCAUUAUUUAGGCCAUGCGUUUGAUAUUCAUGGCGGAGGAAAAGAUUUGAUCUUUCCACAUCAUGAGAACGAGCUCGCACAAAGCAGAGCAGCGAAUCCUGAGAGCGAGGUCAAAUGCUGGAUGCAUAAUGGCUUUGUCAACAACAAUGGCCAGAAGAUGGCAAAAGCAGACAAAAACUUCUUCACUAUCAGAGAUGUUAUCGCUCUGUACCAUCCAAUGGCUCUCAGGCUAUUCCUGAUGCGAACACACUACAGGUCCGAUGUUAACCACUCUGAUGUAGGCCUUGAGUUUGCAUCUGGCCGUGUGUACUACAUCUAUCAGACUCUACAAGACUCUCAAGAGGUUAUAUCCUUGUACCAUGAUGAUGAGUUGGACGUCCCAGUACCAGCAGGCGAUCGCAAGGUGGUUGACGACAACCACGAGAGUUUCCUGAGACACAUGUCGAACGAUCUUCAUACCACAGGCGCCCUUGACGAGCUUAUGAAGCCAGUGAGAGCAAUGAACAACAACUUGAGUGAUCUGAAGAAAUUGCAGCAGAAACUGGAGCAGCAGCAGAAGAAAGAGCCAGAGAAGAAGAAGCAGCAGCAGCAGAAAAAGAAACAGCCCGAGGAGAAACAAGAGGAACAUUAUGUACAAGCUCUGGUUGCCUUGCACGUCGAAGUCACGAAUAAACUGUCUAUUCUUGGCUUGAUGCCGUCAUCGCCCUUGGCUGAGGUGGUGAAGCAACUGAAGGAGAGGGCGCUGAAGCGAGCAGGGAUGAGUGAAGAGGAGCUGCAGCAGGUGAUUGAGCAGAGAAGCGCUGCGAGGAAGAGGAAGGAGUUUGCGGAGUCGGACCGGAUCAGGGCGGAGCUCUCUGCCCGCGGCAUCGCCUUGAUGGAUGAGCCUGCCGGGACGCUGUGGAAACCAUCUGAACCAGAACUAGCUGAAGAAGCGUAG